RNAcentral lists this ribosomal RNA (301 nucleotides) under uncultured bacterium. RNAcentral's name for it is "partial 16S ribosomal RNA". It matches the Rfam family "Bacterial small subunit ribosomal RNA", at positions 509 to 807 of the family's 1533-position model. The record is from RNAcentral.
CAGCCGCCACGGGAAUACGAAGGGGGCUAGCGUUGCUCGGAAUUACUGGGCGUAAAGGGAGCGUAGGCGGAUCGUUUAGUCAGGGGUGAAAUCCCGGGGCUCAACCUCGGGACUGCCUUUGAUACUGGCGAUCUUGAGUAUGGGAGAGGUGUGUGGAACUCCGAGUGUAGAGGUGAAAUUCGUAGAUAUUCGGAAGAACACCAGUGGCGAAGGCGACACACUGGCCCAUUACUGACGCUGAGGCUCGAAAGCGUGGGGAGCAAACAGGAUUAGAUACCCGAGUAGUCCCUGUCUCUUAUAC